UACAGAGGGGGCAAGCGUUGUUCGGAAUUACUGGGCGUAAAGGGCGCGUAGGCGGCCUUCUAAGUCGAACGUGAAAUCCCUCGGCUUAACCGGGGAACUGCGUCCGAUACUGGAUGGCUUGAGUUCGGGAGAGGGAUGCGGAAUUCCAGGUGUAGCGGUGAAAUGCGUAGAUAUCUGGAGGAACACCGGUGGCGAAGGCGGCAUCCUGGACCGACACUGACGCUGAGGAGCGAAAGCCAGGGGAGCAAACGGG
This 253-nucleotide ribosomal RNA is filed under the name uncultured bacterium. RNAcentral describes it as "partial 16S ribosomal RNA". It matches the Rfam family "Bacterial small subunit ribosomal RNA", at positions 524 to 776 of the family's 1533-position model. The record is from RNAcentral.